GCGCCUCCAGGAAAGAUUAUUACCUAGAGGCUGGGCUGAACUGAAAGAAAAAGAGUGGUAAAGGGGUGAGUAACACGUGGGUAACCUGCCCAUCAGAAGGGGAUAACACUUGGAAACAGGUGCUAAUACCGUAUAACACUAUUUUCCGCAUGGAAGAAAGUUGAAAGGCGCUUUUGCGUCACUGAUGGAUGGACCCGCGGUGCAUUAGCUAGUUGGUGAGGUAACGGCUCACCAAGGCAACGAUGCAUAGCCGACCUGAGAGGGUGAUCGGCCACACUGGGACUGAGACACGGCCCAGACUCCUACGGGAGGCAGCAGUAGGGAAUCUUCGGCAAUGGACGAAAGUCUGACCGAGCAACGCCGCGUGAGUGAAGAAGGUUUUCGGAUCGUAAAACUCUGUUGUUAGAGAAGAACAAGGAUGAGAGUAAAAUGUUCAUCCCUUGACGGUAUCUAACCAGAAAGCCACGGCUAACUACGUGCCAGCAGCCGCGGUAAUACGUAGGUGGCAAGCGUUGUCCGGAUUUAUUGGGCGUAAAGCGAGCGCAGGCGGUUUCUUAAGUCUGAUGUGAAAGCCCCCGGCUCAACCGGGGAGGGUCAUUGGAAACUGGGAGACUUGAGUGCAGAAGAGGAGAGUGGAAUUCCAUGUGUAGCGGUGAAAUGCGUAGAUAUAUGGAGGAACACCAGUGGCGAAGGCGGCUCUCUGGUCUGUAACUGACGCUGAGGCUCGAAAGCGUGGGGAGCGAACAGGAUUAGAUACCCUGGUAGUCCACGCCGUAAACGAUGAGUGCUAAGUGUUGGAGGGUUUCCGCCCUUCAGUGCUGCAGCAAACGCAUUAAGCACUCCGCCUGGGGAGUACGACCGCAAGUUGAAACUCAAAGGAAUUGACGGGGGCCCGCACAAGCGGUGGAGCAUGUGGUUUAAUUCGAAGCAACGCGAAGAACCUUACCAGGUCUUGACAUCCUUUGACCACUCUAGAGAUAGAGCUUCCC
Molecule: ribosomal RNA, 989 nt
Filed under: Enterococcus sp. enrichment culture clone VSS1
Lineage: Bacteria; Bacillati; Bacillota; Bacilli; Lactobacillales; Enterococcaceae
Description: bacterial SSU rRNA
Rfam family: Bacterial small subunit ribosomal RNA
Source: RNAcentral